AGUUCCAACCCUGGGCAGCCCUAAGUAAGAGUCAUCAGAAGCUUCCAGGCAAUUGUCACUGAAAAAUAAGUGCUAUAGCACUACCUCAGCUGCUGCAACCACAGACCUCAUUCAGAAAUCUUUAUUGUAUUAACCCUUGUGUGUCCGGAAUUGGUGGGUUCUUGGUCUCACUGACUUCAAGAAUGAAGCCUGGGACACUCACGGAAGGCUAAAGCUCUAUAACCAUUGAAAGCUGGCUGGGGGAAAAGAAGAAGAGGCAAAAAGAUCAACUGAAGAAUAAACUGCUGUCAUUGGCACAAAAGAAUACCACAAAGAUUAUUUACAAAACUCGAAUCAGGAGUAGAACAGACCUCCAUGUGGAAGUUCAAUUAUGCUAAGAGGAAAGAGGAAAGGGGAAGAGUUUACAGAAAUAAAUUAAUGAUGAUGAUAAACUA
This is a long non-coding RNA of Homo sapiens (human), 434 nucleotides long. RefSeq lists it as uncharacterized. The record is from RefSeq and is a predicted model, not a curated record. Lineage: Eukaryota; Metazoa; Chordata; Mammalia; Primates; Hominidae. The transcript is spliced from 2 exons.